This 103-nucleotide ribosomal RNA is filed under the name Candidatus Peregrinibacteria bacterium. RNAcentral describes it as "partial 23S ribosomal RNA". It matches the Rfam family "Bacterial large subunit ribosomal RNA", at positions 2823 to 2925 of the family's 2925-position model. Lineage: Bacteria; Candidatus Peregrinibacteriota. The record is from RNAcentral.
UCUUGAUAAGUGCCCUUGGAGACUACAAGGUUGAUAGGUUGCAGGUGUACGAACAGCGAUGUUCUCAGCCGAGCAAUACUAAUAGCACGAAUGAUAUUUAUGC